AUGGCCGUGGACGCGGGGCCGCGGGACUGGAGGACGCCGGCGUCGAUGGUGCUGGUGCAGCUGUUCAUCACGGGGAUGCUCCUGCUGUCCAAGGUGUCCAUCGGCGCCGGCAUGUUCAUCUUCGCGCUCCUCGCCUACCGCAGCUUCCUCGGCGCCGCAUUCAUCCUCCCCUUCGCGCUCAUCUCCGAAAGGGACAAGUGGAGGGAGAUGGGUUGGCAUGCCACAGGAUGGAUCUUCCUCAAUGCAUUCAUCGGGUACGCGGUGCCAAUGAGUCUACUCUACUAUGGCCUCAGUGAUACAACCCCAUCUUAUGCCGUCAUCUUUGUAAAUAUGAUCCCACUGUUCACCUUCGUUCUCUCGCUCGUCUUCAGAAUGGAGGCGCUGCAAAUCUGGAGCAUAGCUGGAUUGCUAAAGAUCGUAGGUGUUCUACUCUCUGUGGGAGGCACGAUGUUGCUUAGCCUUUACAAGGGCAAGACGUUGCACCUGUGGGAUCCUAUCUUUGUGAACCACCACAAGGAACGUCAUGUGGCUGAGGUUGCAGGCAAUCACUUACGAGGGACAAUAUUCUUGGUAGGCAGCAGCUUCACAUUUGCUUGCUGGUACCUGAUUCAGUCAAAGGUUCUCAAGGUGUACCCAUACAAAUACUGGUCGUCCAUGACAACAUGCUUGGUUGGAGGAUUUCAGACAUCACUAGUUGGAAUACUAUUGAGAAGAGACAAGAACACAUGGAAGCUAGGAUGGGAUCUGAAUCUUGUGACCAUUAUAUACUCGGGUGCACUUGCAACAGCAGGGAGAUAUAGCCUGAACUCAUGGGUCGUGGCCAAGCGAGGCCCAACAUACCCUCCCAUGUUCAACCCAUUAUCUCUAGUGUUUACAACUUUGUUAGACUCCAUCUUCAUAGGCGAUGAAAUUACAGUAGGAAGCCUACUCGGUACAACAAUGGUGAUUGUUGGGAUCUACAUUUUCUUGUGGGCCAAAUCAAAAGAAGUGCGGGACAAAUAG
This 1002-nucleotide ribosomal RNA is filed under the name Triticum aestivum (bread wheat). RNAcentral's name for it is "partial small subunit ribosomal RNA". Lineage: Eukaryota; Viridiplantae; Streptophyta; Magnoliopsida; Poales; Poaceae. The record is from RNAcentral.